AGACUUUAAUAUACAACCUUGGUGUAAGGUUUUAAGCAUUAUUACCAUUAUCUAAAAAUUCAUAGAAAUGUAAGUCAGUAGGAAUUCCAUCUACACUUGAUACUUAUAGGAGUUGCUAUAUUACAAACUUAAAAAAAAUCUAUGUAAUAAGAUUUGGAUUGCUGAGCAUGUCCAUGUUAUAAUUCUACAUAGUAUGUACUCCAUUCCCUUGUUUUAAUAGUAUUUCGGCAGAGCUCCUGCUUGGUUCUUCAGAAAAUAGAAUACUCACACCUUGUGGGAGACGCUCAUCUGAAUCACCUGCAAAUAUAUAGAUUACCUGUGGGUUUUAUAAAAAAGUAACUAAUUAUCUUGCCGGCGCGGCCUUGUGCGAAUAUCCGAAAAAACAAGAAUGAGCAAUUUUGUUUUCAUAUACAGUAAUUAUCAACCUACUGAGAAUGCAGUAAACCAUAUAUCCACCUAAGCUUAUCAAGGGUCCAAUCAUAUAUGUACGCAUCCAUUAAUUCCAUCUCUUCAUCAUCAGGUGUCUAAUUAUGCAUCCAUUAAUCGAACAUAUCCAUCAGUUCCAUGUUUGUAUAACCAAGUACUAUAUGUAUAAGGAGCUGAACAUAGAUCAGACCUGAGAUUAAAUGGGUUGGAGCACGACCACCGUAUGUCCCAUCGGUCAGGUAGGAGCUUGAUACAUGACAGUACGUUUAGAGAGGCAUGAUUUAGAUGGAGAGGGCGUCCGGUCGUGGUGGAGGAUGGAAAAAACUUAAGGUGGGGCAAACUCAAAACUCAAAACUCUGGAUCGUGCUUGUUCCAGCGUUUGACACUUCGGCCACCUACUAUCAAUUAUCAAAAGAGCACUACUAUGUACGAUCCAGAGUAGUCACUUUGAGAAAUUCAGACCAUUGACAGAAAUUCAGACCACCUACUAUCAAAAAAGCACUACUAUGUAUGAUCCAGAGUUGACACUUUGACAGAAAUUCAGAAACACAGGUUCCAUUGUAGAGUUCAGAAAAAUUAGCACGCUGAUGCCCCUUGCCCCUACCUUUACUAUGUACUUCAUCUUUGAAUCUGCGGACAACCAAACAAUCAGUCAAUCUCCAAUCCCUGCAAAAUAAAUAUGUUCUUAGAAAUUUGGAAUACAAUU
RNAcentral lists this long non-coding RNA (1132 nucleotides) under Triticum aestivum (bread wheat). RNAcentral describes it as "long non-coding RNA (TAES_LNC006374)". Lineage: Eukaryota; Viridiplantae; Streptophyta; Magnoliopsida; Poales; Poaceae. The record is from RNAcentral.